This 472-nucleotide ribosomal RNA is filed under the name uncultured bacterium. Its description in RNAcentral is "partial 16S ribosomal RNA". It matches the Rfam family "Bacterial small subunit ribosomal RNA", at positions 28 to 507 of the family's 1533-position model. The record is from RNAcentral.
GAUGAACGCUGGCGGCGUGCCUAAUACAUGCAAGUCGAGCGAACGGACGAGAAGCUUGCUUCUCUGAUGUUAGCGGCGGACGGGUGAGUAACACGUGGAUAACCUACCUAUAAGACUGGGAUAACUUCGGGAAACCGGAGCUAAUACCGGAUGAUAUUUUGAACCGCAUGGUUCAAAAGUGAAAGACGGUCUUGCUGUCACUUAUAGAUGGAUCCGCGCUGCAUUAGCUAGUUGGUAAGGUAACGGCUUACCAAGGCAACGAUGCAUAGCCGACCUGAGAGGAAGAUCAGCGACACUGGGACUGAGACACGGCCCAGACUCCUACGGGAGGCAGCAGUGGGGAAUAUUGGACAAUGGGCGAAAGCCUGAUCCAGCAAUGCGGCGUGAGUGAUGAAGGCCUUAGGGUUGUAAAGCUCUUUUACCCGGGAUGAUAAUGACAGUACCGGGAGAAUAAGCUCCGGCUAACUCCGUG